AGUCAAGUAAUUAAGUGCAUGUGGUGGAUGCCUUGGCAGUCAGAGGCGAUGAAAGACGUGAUAGCCUGCGAAAAGCUCCGGGGAGGCGGCAAAUAUCCUUUGAUCCGGAGAUGUCUGAAUGGGGGAACCCACCUACUUUAAGGUAGGUAUUGCAACAUGAAUACAUAGUGUUGCAAGGCGAACGAGGGGAAGUGAAACAUCUCAGUACCCUUAGGAAAAGAAAUCAAUUGAGAUUCCCUCAGUAGCGGCGAGCGAACGGGGAUCAGCCCAUUAAGUUAUGUGUGUUUUAGUGGAACGCUCUGGGAAGUGCGAACGUAGAGGGUGAUAUUCCCGUACACGAAAGGGCACACAUAAUGAUGACGAGUAGGGCGAGGCACGUGAAACCUUGUCUGAAUAUGGGGGGACCAUCCUCCAAGGCUAAAUACUCCUGACUGACCGAUAGUGAACCAGUACCGUGAGGGAAAGGCGAAAAGAACCCCUGUGAGGGGAGUGAAAUAGAUCCUGAAACCGCAUGCAUACAAGCAGUGGGAGCACCUUCGUGGUGUGACUGCGUACCUUUUGUAUAAUGGGUCAGCGACUUAUAUUCAGUAGCGAGGUUAACCGUAUAGGGGAGCCGUAGAGAAAUCGAGUCUUAAUAGGGCGUUUAGUUGCUGGGUAUAGACCCGAAACCAGGCGAUCUAUCCAUGAGCAGGUUGAAGGUUGGGUAACACUAACUGGAGGACCGAACCCACUGUCGUUGAAAAGCCAGGGGAUGACUUGUGGAUAGGGGUGAAAGGCUAAUCAAGCCUGGUGAUAGCUGGUUCUCCCCGAAAGCUAUUUAGGUAGCGCCUCGGACGAAUACCAUAGGGGGUAGAGCACUGUUUCGGCUAGGGGGUCAUCCCGACUUACCAAACCGAUGCAAACUCCGAAUACCUAUGAGUACUAUCCGGGAGACAGACUGCGGGUGCUAACGUCCGUAGUCAAGAGGAAAACAAUCCAGACCGCCAGCUAAGGCCCCAAAAUCAUAGUUAAGUGGGAAACGAUGUGGGAAGGCAUAGACAGCU
Molecule: ribosomal RNA, 1043 nt
Filed under: Acinetobacter baumannii
Lineage: Bacteria; Pseudomonadati; Pseudomonadota; Gammaproteobacteria; Moraxellales; Moraxellaceae
Description: partial 23S ribosomal RNA
Rfam family: Bacterial large subunit ribosomal RNA
Source: RNAcentral